This is a long non-coding RNA of Armigeres subalbatus, 1059 nucleotides long. RefSeq lists it as uncharacterized. The transcript has 4 exons. NCBI's taxonomy places the organism in Eukaryota, Metazoa, Arthropoda, Insecta, Diptera, Culicidae. The record is from RefSeq and is a predicted model, not a curated record.
UAUCAGUUUACCUAUUUAUGGGUACUUUGAUCACCCAUAUUUGGGUAGUGCAAACAUUACCCAUAUUAUGGGUGAAAUGUACCGAAAAAAUCAGCAAAUUUCACCCAUAUUUUUAAUUACAUAAUGUUACCUAUAUAUGGGUAAAUUAAUUUACCCAUAUUUGGAUGAAAAUAAAAACAUUUGCGUCAGAACAGAAUCGCACCCAACAGCGUGGAACGUGGAACUGUCGCUAAAAAAAUAUUUGUCGAGGAUCGAAGUACUAUAACUAAAACGCUGAUACCACGAUCAACAGCAAACGCCAUGGAACCGUGCAGUCCAGCUUCAGGAGAUUGCCACUGCAUCGGGGAAAGUUCAUGAAGAAUUUUGCCACUUCUUGGUGCUAAAACAGGUGCAUUUCCUAACCACCGGGUUCUCCGCCAUCUGCAAAUCGACCAACCGAAACACGGCAUCGGCCGGAGCGGAAAUGUUGAACCGCAUAAAGAAAACCGAUAAGAGUCGAAACUACUAGCCUACGAUUUACAGCCUUAAGUUUGAACGGUUAUUGUUCUUCCCAGGGAACAGGGAACAAAACUGCGGAUCACUUCUCAGCAACCCACUCGGUCAUCCUAUAGCGCAUAGUCCCUCGUAGGACGAAUCAACAGAAUUAGAUGGCACCAGCGAAAAACUCACCGUUUCGGGCGCUCUCAAUCCUCUCAGAGCCUUCUUGCUUGUGGAAUACAACGAACCAAUUUGAUUUUGGAAGACGGAGCUCGCCCAAUCAGUCACGUACCAGCCAUUUCGUUAUUGGGCGUCGGUCGAAACGAAGUGCCAAGAAGAAAUCCAGAUUUGGGGCAGCGAUGUGCGCAAUGAGCGAAUCCGCUUCGUUCACACAAACGGAAAUAUGCGGCAGGAUUUCGACGACACCAGUAAUUCCUGCGGCAAGAGCUGUUAUUCAACAUAAUGCGAGACCUGCUAUUCUCGAGAUGGUGGUCAAAAUUGCGUUAAUAUUUGUAAAAUGCAUAUAAUAAAACCAAAUGCCUAAUAAAGUUAUACUUAAAGCUUUUAUCAAUACCUAUGUGC